AUGGACCCCAAAGAGACCACCCUCCUGUGUCUUGUGCUCUGUCUGGGCCAGAGGAUUCAGGCACAGGAAGGGAGGUAUAUUAGCAAGCAUUUUUGGUGUUGAAGUUUGGGCUGCAAUCCAGUAAAUGAUGCUUAAGCAUAACGGCCAGGGGACUUUCCCAUGCCUUUCAUAUCUGCCAAAUCAAGUCCUGUGAUUCCCUUGGAUGGAUCUGUGAAAAUCCAGUGCCAGGCCAUUCGUGAAGCUUACCUGACCCAGCUGAUGAUCCUAAAAAACUCCACGUACCGAGAGAUAGACAGAAAACUGAAGUUUUGGAAUAAGACUGAUCCUGAGUUCAUCAUUAACCACAUGGACACAAACAAGGCAGGGCGCUAUCGGUGCCAAUAUAGGAUAGGGCAAUACAUGUUCCGGUACAGUGACACCCUGGAGCUGGUAGUGACAGACUCCAUAAACCAAGAUUACACGAUGCAGAACUUGAUCCGCAUGGCCGUGGCAGGACUGGUCCUCGUGGCUCUCUUGGCCAUACUAGUUGAAAAUUGGCACAGCCAUAAGGCGCUGAACAAGGAAGCCUCGGCAGAUGUGGCUGAACCGAGCUGGAGCCAACAGAUGUGUCAGCCAGGAUUGACCUUUGCACGAACACCAAGUGUCUGCAAGUAA
RNAcentral lists this small RNA (654 nucleotides) under Pongo abelii (Sumatran orangutan). RNAcentral's name for it is "processed transcript". Lineage: Eukaryota; Metazoa; Chordata; Mammalia; Primates; Hominidae. The record is from RNAcentral.